RNAcentral lists this ribosomal RNA (517 nucleotides) under uncultured bacterium. Its description in RNAcentral is "partial 16S ribosomal RNA". It matches the Rfam family "Bacterial small subunit ribosomal RNA", at positions 29 to 523 of the family's 1533-position model. The record is from RNAcentral.
AACGAACGCUGGCGGCGUGCCUAACACAUGCAAGUCGAACGCGAAAGUCCUUCGGGACGAGUAGAGUGGCGCACGGGUGAGUAACGCGUGGGUAAUCUACCCCCGAGAUUGGAACAACCUUCCGAAAGGAGGGCACAUUCCAAAUAACACUUUAGAGCCGAAAGUCUUGGAAGACAAAGGUGACCACUUCUUGAAAGUUAUCGCUUGAGGAUGAGCCUGCGUCCCAUUAGCUAGUUGGUGGGGUAAUGGCUUACCAAGGCGAAGAUGGGUAGCUGGUCUUAAAGGACGAUCAGCCACACUGGAACUGAAACACGGUCCAGACUCCUACGGGAGGCAGCAGUGGGGAAUUUUGCGCAAUGGAGGAAACUCUGACGCAGCAACGCCGCGUGGGGGACGAAGGCCUUUGGGUCGUAAACCCCUGUCUAGAGGGAAAAAACGGUAGACGUCAAAUAGGCGUUUGCCUUGAUGGUACUUCUGGAGGAAGCAUCGGCUAACUACGUGCCAGCCGCCGCGGUAA